GGCAACAGCUCAAAUUUGAAAUCUGGCCUUGUGCCCGAGUUGUAAUUUGUAGAGGAUGCUUUGGGUGAGGCCCCUGCCGAGUUCCCUGGAACGGGUCGCCACAGAGGGUGAGAGCCCCGUAUGGCAGGGCGCCAAGUCCGUGUAAAGCUCCCUCGAC
Molecule: ribosomal RNA, 157 nt
Filed under: Lentomitella sp.
Lineage: Eukaryota; Fungi; Ascomycota; Sordariomycetes; Xenospadicoidales; Xenospadicoidaceae
Description: partial large subunit ribosomal RNA
Rfam family: Eukaryotic large subunit ribosomal RNA
Source: RNAcentral